This is a long non-coding RNA of Salvelinus fontinalis (brook trout), 3359 nucleotides long. RefSeq lists it as uncharacterized. NCBI's taxonomy places the organism in Eukaryota, Metazoa, Chordata, Actinopteri, Salmoniformes, Salmonidae. The transcript has 2 exons. The record is from RefSeq and is a predicted model, not a curated record.
AAAGGCCCUCUUACAAUCAUUGUCCAUUGUUUUAUAAGUAUCUUCUUGCUAUGCUUCUCUUGUCUGUUCCUUUUUAUUAUUUAAGUACAAUAACUUGUAGAACCCCUAGUGCCAGAUUCAGUUUUAUAAAUUCUAUAUUUGUAAAGUGUACACAUUUUGUAAUACAAUGUAACACAUUGUGUUUAAAAUGAGUGCAAAAAAGGCGGUAUAAAAUAAAUUACACAAAUACUGAGCUAUAUUGUAUGCAAAAAUGAAAUUAUAUUAUUUUAUACUAAUACAAUUGCUCAGAGAAAGAGAUUUUGUCUAGCAAGUAAUACAAAAAAGAGCCAGCACCCUAUUUUACAGUAGGUUAGGGGUUAUUUUCUGCUUAUAAAUUUUUGUUUCAAUGCUAAACCCACCACUGGUGUGUGUGUGGCCAAAGAGCUCUAUUUUCAUGUCAUCCAACAAAUGCUUGGAGUUUGCUAAACGGCAUUGGCACUUGGAUUGGAACCAUUGCUAAGGUCAGAUGACAUGAAGAUAGAGCUUUUUGGCCAUGCACACCAGUGGUGGGUUUAGUGUCGAAAUAAUAAGGAUUCGUAAGCAGAAAAGAACCCCAUACCUACUGUAUAAUAUGGUGGUGGAUCUUUGGAUAUUGGAUAUUGGGCAAUUUUGCUUCCACUGGUCCUGGUGGAAGGUCAAUCCAGUAUGAGGACAUUUUAGCCAAAAACCUGGUUGCAAUAGGAUCUUCCAACAAGACAAUAACCCCAAGCACACAUCAAAAUCCACAAAGAAAUGGUUAAUUGACCAUCAACAUUUUGCAAUGGCCAUCUCAGUCUCCGGACUUAAACCCUACUGAAAACCUGUGGUUUGAAUUGAAAAGGGCACGCCAUAAGAUCUGAAAAGAUUCUGUAUGAUGGAAUGGUCUAAGAUCCCUCCCAAUGUGUUCUCCAAUAAAUCAUUUUAGAAAAUGGCUCAGUGCUGUUAUCCUUGCAAGGUGAUGUAUUGAUAACGGGUGGCAAUAAUUUUGACCCCUAUCUUUUUGAGAGGAAAAAACGUAUUGACUGUUAAAAUCGCUAUCUGCGCAAUUUAUUGGUAUAAAAUAAUAAUAUAAUUUUUAAAUGUUGGCAUAUAACAGCUCAGAAUUGGUAUUAUUUAUGGUAUACAAUAUUUUUUCCCCCAGUUGUCUUUAUCAAGGUGUGCCAAUAACUUUGGUCCUGACUGUAACCGUCGCAGAGUCAUGUCUCAAUUGUCUCAAGGCUUAAAAAUACAUCUUUAACCUGUCUCGUCCCCUUUAUCUACAGUGAUUUGAAGUGGAUUUAACAAGUGACCUCAAUAGGGGAUCAUGGCUUUCACCUGGUCAGUCUGUCAUGGAAAGAGCAGGUGUUCCUUAUGUUUUGUACAGUCAGUGUAUGUCAGGUUUUCUGUUAGGAAACUGUGGCACCGGACAACUUGACCAGUAAGAUUUUAACAGUGCUCAAAAUCACAUUUAGAUGUAAUUCAUCUUAACAGAAUAGAAUUAUGCCUGUAAAGUAGAAUGAUGUUCUUAUACCAACAUGACAGGUACUUAUAGAAAAGCAAAACAUUGCCCGUUGUGUGUUCAUCCCUGCUAUAAAUCACUUUAUAGUAGCAGGUUAGGAUAAUUCAUGUAGCAGGUUAGGAAAAUUAGGUUAAGGUUAGCUAAAAGGCCAUUUAAAUGUAUUUAUUUUCUAAACUUUUGACGUUAAUUUGACAAACGCUGGGAUCCCUUCUAGCCAUUACGGCUGUCCCACUCUCCAUUCCAUCUGCGAUUCAGCACCACAAGCAGUUGAAAGAAGACACUCUAGGCAGCCACAAAAUGAAUACGUUAUUAAACUGAUGUUGCGCAAUCAAAUUCAAUAUGUACAUAAACGAAAUUCGUUAAGGCUGGUUCAUUGAGAGAAAGCUUAUUUUACAAUGCUCCUAUGAAACAAGGCCCAUGCCAUGCAUUUAUGAAAUCACUAGUUUGCAACGCUCAAAUUCUGUCACUCUUUUUACAGCUCUACUGGAUGAUAUUAAUAAAUGGUAUAUUUACUGUAAUUUGAACUAUCGUGGGGUUGUGUAGUCUACCACGGUAUGAAUCAUAAUACCCAUAAAACCUAUCGGCAAACACGGAAAUGGUUCCAAUUUUUUUCCCACCAUUCCAUUUAUCCAUUGUGGAUUUUAGAAACACCUCAAAUAAGGGCUAUGUUUCGUGGAGACUUACCCUGGCGUGGCGUUUUGAUAACCAUUUAAGUCUCCAGGACAAGGUGACUUUUUUUAUCAACAUAUUUGCCUGUAUUCAAUGUGGCUGUAAUAGAGAACUACAAAUUCCUGUCUCAAGCUUCAAGUCACUCACCAGGGCCAUGAUGAUCUAGGCGAGACUGCCGAAUCGAGGCAAAGACACAAGAUGACCAUGAUUUGAAUGCUGCAACUGAGACGUAAUGACGUCGAGGGACAUACGCAGAGACCCCGAGUAUGACUGGACAUGGGCCGGAUAUUUGUGACCACUACCUCCAAGUGGUGCAGAAGCACACCAGCACCCCAUUUUAUUUUUAUUCCAUGGCCAAACAGGUCUCUAGCUACCCCUUAUUCCACACUGUCUUUUAUACCCCAUGGUCCUUCAACUUCAGACACUUUAUAACUCUCUACCCUACCGUCACCCAUUCCCCCUAUGCUGCUUCCUUCACUUGUUCUUCUCCUGAUUUGAUAACAUCUAGACUCAGUAACACAUUUAAAAGUGUUGUGGUGUACUGUUUUUGCUACCGUUUUUUUCACCUGUGUAAUGCUGCUUAUUCUUGGGUUCAGACUGAAUGCAGUGGUAAAUGUGCUGCUCACAAUUGACAGAAGCAACAUUGACAAGAAGGGUGUUGAAAUGGCUGCUAACUUGUUUUGAGUCUUAAGUGCUUAUCUCAUUUUACAUUUUUAUAUUUUUACAUUUUAGUAAUUUAGCUGACGAUCUUACCCAGAGCGACUUAGUAGUGAGUGCAUACAUAGUAAUUUAUAUAACACCUACCUUACGCAUCUAGUUUUUCCAAUUGUAACCCACCCACCAAAAUCACAAUAUGCUGCUUUACAUGUUGGAUUAUUUGUGCUGGCCUAAUUCCUAAAAUGGGAAACAUAGAAGAAUCUGUUCGCUCUCAGAUAGUAAUCAUAGUUCAUAUGGUGCUCUUGGAUGUCCCAGGUGUGUGGCAUUGAUGAAUAAAUCAUUUCAUGUUUACUUAACAUAACAUAUACAAAUAUGAAUGUAUGUAUGAAAGGGAUAUGUAUGCAUUGUUUACUAUUUUGAUUUAUUUAAAACAAUGUGAUUGUUGGAGUUUAGAUGUCUGUGAUUCAUGGGUGACACUAUGCAUUUUUGUCAAAUAAAUAUGUUUAUUCAUUCAUGA